Molecule: small nucleolar RNA, 126 nt
Organism: Spea bombifrons (plains spadefoot toad)
Lineage: Eukaryota; Metazoa; Chordata; Amphibia; Anura; Pelobatidae
Product: small nucleolar RNA SNORD22
Exons: 1
Source: RefSeq, a predicted model, not a curated record
CCUUGAUGAUGACACCCUCACACGUCCGACUUACUAAUGUGUACCAGAGCCUGUAAAGGUGAACCCACUGGUCCUGUUAGUAGGAAGAGAAGGAUGUACUGUUCCAGCUGGAACUGUCUGAAAGGG